CGAAGGAUGAAAUUUUUUAAAGCAGAAAACGUUCGUUAAUUUUGAGAUUAACAGUAAUUCUAGCAUCUUCAAAGUUUGAUGUUUGCUCAACAAGUUUUUGUUUUUACGGAUAGCGACAGGAGUGUAAUACCUCUGGUUUCGAGAAAACUUAAAUAUGAGAAGUUUAAACAAAAUAAUAAUGCAUUUUCGGUUGGGGUUUCAGCAUGAACUUGCAAAACUG
Schizosaccharomyces pombe (fission yeast) is the source of this 220-nucleotide non-coding RNA. Lineage: Eukaryota; Fungi; Ascomycota; Schizosaccharomycetes; Schizosaccharomycetales; Schizosaccharomycetaceae. The record is from the annotation of a GenBank genome assembly.